RNAcentral lists this long non-coding RNA (911 nucleotides) under Nicotiana tabacum (common tobacco). RNAcentral's name for it is "long non-coding RNA (NTAB_LNC012443)". Lineage: Eukaryota; Viridiplantae; Streptophyta; Magnoliopsida; Solanales; Solanaceae. The record is from RNAcentral.
AGGUUUAAUACCUUUUAUCUUAUCUUGCAAAGUUAGCAUCAGUCGAAUGAAAAGAUCUUCUGACCAUUCUUACUUCUGUAGAAGGUAAAAUGAGACUUAGCUUUUGGUAGCAUCCUGUUGAAAAGACGUUCCCCGUUAUUUUUACGUCUGUGAGUCCUCCAGCAAUAAUCAGAUGUGCAAUCGAUUAUAAAGAUCUACAUGAUGUCCACUUUUAAGAUUUCUCUUUUGUGAUUUAGAAGUACUUGUGGCAUGCUAAACUAACACCAUAAGUUAAACUUAAAUAUUCAUUCUGCAAUCUUGUUACAGAAAAUCAGUCAUAAUAAUAACAAAGAUGCUGCUGAUAGAAGAGUUGAUAGAAACAACCUAAAAUUUGAGAUCUCAGAAUUGCAGGGCGUGAGCAAUGACUGAAGCUUUUCUUUUUGGAUAUAGUCUUACAGACAGUAAAAAAGGUAUUGUAGUUUCACUUUUUGAUUCUUGUAGUAUCUCUUAUUUUUUACAAGCUUGAUAGGUCAUUCAUCCAGGUUAUUUGUGCAGCCUUUUCAUAGCUUUUGACUUAACACAAUAUUAUCUUUUAUUAAUUUUCUAAAAAAAUACUUACUUGGUAGUAAUUUAUUGUACAACAUGUUACACUUCUCUAUUUGUAGUAAAUUCAUUUUAAGUAUUGAACGAAUUAUCCUGCUUGGCUACAUCAUUUAAAUGACAGGUUCUGAUAUAUUCGUCAGGGAGUUAGAAAAAAGGAAGCUCGUGAUAUCAUAACCGGGUAACGUGAUCAAUCUUCAGAAAUAGCUAGAUAGUUGUAGUGCAGAUACCAUCAAGCUUAAUUUUGUAUUUUCUUUACAUAUGACUUUAAGUAGCCAUGCUUUACUGGGUUUUAUUAUGUGUUUGUCACCUAAUGCUUUAAGUAGAUAUAG